CCCAAAUUGAAAUAACAAAAUCGCCCCCAAAUCCCAUGGAAGAACACUUUCCAUCAUAAAAACAUUUCUAAAUCAAUGGAAGAAUGCAAAAUCGCCCUCAAAUCCCAUGAACCCUAAGAAUUGCGCCCCAAAAUAUAUUUCUUCUAUACAACAACUUCUUCUAUGGUGAAAGUUCACAGACGCAUUGGAUGACCCUAAUUUUAAAUUGUUGGCUGCAUCAUAUCCGUAUUUUCCUUAAAGGGUUUGAAUUAAGUGGGUUAGAUACUUUGUUUAAUAACAUCAACUGAAUGCUUGUGAUGCAAAGACUGGAAAUUUGAAUAUCAUCAUUGCAAGGUUUGUUUUCUAUUUCUCUUAAUCAAUACAAUUUUUUAUUUUUUUAUUUUUCUUUAACAUGUGGAUUAGAUUAUAGUCCCAUCUGUGUUGAGUUUGUAAAAAUCUUGGUACUUUGCUUUAUGUAGAACAAUUUGUUUAUUGAGUAGAGUAAUAUAAUAAAAUGAAGGUCUGAUUUGCCUUGUCAAAUCCAUCACAAAAGAAUAAAACUAAACAAAUUCCAAGUUUGAAAUACUAAAUUCCAGCAGGGAGUUUGAUUUAUUUGUGAAAUGAUUUAUAUCUUGAUUUAUUUGUGAAAUGAUUUAUAUCUUGACAUCUUGAUUGCGAGUUCUUAAUUAAAUUUUGUUCUUAUUUGCAGGGUGGUUUUCCUUCGGUUGAACAAAUUGGAACGUCACUGAGGCAAUUAUCCUUGGCGUUUCUUUGUCCUGAACAUCUUGAUUAAUUGAUAUACAUUCAUGAUUGUUGUAGGAAAAAUUGUCUUUGCUAUUAGUGCCACGACAUUAACAUUUUCCCUGUAUUGUAGUGGGAAAAAUUGGCGGCUUGUGUUGAAUGUGUAUUGCAACUAUAAUUGAAUGGAAUGGAAUUUAAUCCUUC
This 924-nucleotide long non-coding RNA is filed under the name Olea europaea subsp. europaea. Lineage: Eukaryota; Viridiplantae; Streptophyta; Magnoliopsida; Lamiales; Oleaceae. The record is from RNAcentral.